GAUGAACGCUGGCGGCGUGCCUAAUACAUGCAAGUCGAGCGAACGAACGUGAAGGUUUCUUCUCGGGUCUUAGCAUCUUACGGGUGAGUGACAGAUGGGUAAGUUACCUAUAGGACUCGUGUAACGUCCGGGGACCGAACCGAAGGACGGGUAAUAUUUUAAACCGCAUGGUUCAAACAUGGAAGGCUGUCUUGCUGACACUUAUGGAUGGAUCCGCUCUGCAUUAGCUAGUUGGUAAGGUAAGGGCUGAACAAGGCAACGAUGCAUAGCCGCCCUGGCAGGGGGAUCGGCCACACUGAAAUUGAGACACGGUCCAGACUACUACGGGAGGCAGAAGUAGGGAAUCUUCCCGGAUGGCAGAAAGCCUGAAGGAGCAACGCCGCGUGAGUGCUGAAGGUAUUCGGACCGUAAAACUCUGUUAUUAGGGAAGAACAUAUGUGUAAGUAACUGUGCACAACUUGGCGGUACCUAAUCAGAAAGGCACGGCCAACUACGUG
RNAcentral lists this ribosomal RNA (497 nucleotides) under uncultured bacterium. RNAcentral's name for it is "partial 16S ribosomal RNA". It matches the Rfam family "Bacterial small subunit ribosomal RNA", at positions 28 to 507 of the family's 1533-position model. The record is from RNAcentral.